AGCUCUGCGCAGUGGCAGUAUCGUAGCCAAUGAGGUUUAUCCAAGGUGCGAUUAUUGCUAAUUGAAAAACCACAUUUAUACAAAAACCUGCAAAUGAUUGCACUUAACAGCUUUGUUCAUUAUAGUGCCAUGCUAGCUCUAUGCAU
Molecule: small nuclear RNA, 146 nt
Organism: Octodon degus (degu)
Lineage: Eukaryota; Metazoa; Chordata; Mammalia; Rodentia; Octodontidae
Gene: U4
Rfam family: U4 spliceosomal RNA
About the family: U4 small nuclear RNA (U4 snRNA) is a component of the major U2-dependent spliceosome. The structure of U4 snRNA from yeast and human has been reported. U4 snRNA presents a k-turn RNA motif in the 5p-SL related to recognition of Snu13 protein.
Source: Ensembl